GCUCAGGUGUUGGAACUGGCAGACAAGCAGGAUUUAGGUUCCUGUGCCUUCGGGCGUGAGGGUUCGACUCCCUCCCUGGGCACCA
RNAcentral lists this transfer RNA (85 nucleotides) under Gammaproteobacteria bacterium. RNAcentral's name for it is "tRNA-Leu". It matches the Rfam family "tRNA". From Rfam's summary of the family: Transfer RNA (tRNA) molecules are approximately 80 nucleotides in length. Their secondary structure includes four short double-helical elements and three loops (D, anti-codon, and T loops). Lineage: Bacteria; Pseudomonadati; Pseudomonadota; Gammaproteobacteria. The record is from RNAcentral.